Long non-coding RNA from Canis lupus familiaris (dog), 671 nucleotides. RefSeq lists it as uncharacterized. The transcript has 3 exons. The record is from RefSeq and is a predicted model, not a curated record. NCBI's taxonomy places the organism in Eukaryota, Metazoa, Chordata, Mammalia, Carnivora, Canidae.
CCAGUGACCUCAGGCCGACUUGUGUUGGAGGCUCUCGGUAGUCCAUAGAUUAGAUUUCCCUACUGUAGAUCAAAGGUGGGUAAAGCCUCAGCUCUACUGGGGAGUCUCCAGCAGCACUGCUCCUGGGACCUGGCAUCAAGUUUGCAUCGGGAUUCUAAUGGAUUUGGAGGUCCUCCCCUGGUGCUGAGGAAUGCUGAAUGAAUGAAGUGGUCCAGCACUGUGGUUCCUGCAAGAAUGAGCCCUGGGUACCGACUUUUCUAGAGUGUAUGUCCUGAGACAUGCUGAGACAUCAGAGCCGGUUUAUCACGGCAGCUCAGAGCUCAGGCUCUGAAGCCAAACCUGCCUGGGUUCACGUCCACACUCCAUUUCACAAGCUGUGAGGCAGCAGACAAAGACCCAAGUGAUGAGGGGCCUUUUGGUUCUGACAAAAUAAGGUAUUUACUCAGAAAUUACAAUGAAUCUACAAACGGAUAGUUUAAUCCUUAUAUCAAGAGACUAAAUUAAAGCUUCCUCGGAUUCCAGAAUAACAAAGUUGCGUGCCUCAGUAUCCCCAUGUAUGGAACAAGUCAUGCUAGUGACUGGUUGCUGUGAGGAUUAGUCACUCCAUGUAAGGUGCUGGUCAAAAACGGCCACUGUUUCCAUCAGCAUCCAUCCUCCUGCUGCUCCACAGC